GUCAACUGAUUGGAUUGUAGGAAUUGC
RNAcentral lists this small RNA (27 nucleotides) under Bombyx mori (domestic silkworm). RNAcentral's name for it is "piRNA piR-bmo-1895591". Lineage: Eukaryota; Metazoa; Arthropoda; Insecta; Lepidoptera; Bombycidae. The record is from RNAcentral.